This 479-nucleotide ribosomal RNA is filed under the name uncultured Glomeromycotina. Its description in RNAcentral is "SSU rRNA". It matches the Rfam family "Eukaryotic small subunit ribosomal RNA", at positions 596 to 1077 of the family's 1831-position model. Lineage: Eukaryota; Fungi; Glomeromycota. The record is from RNAcentral.
AGCGUAUAUUAAAGUUGUUGCAGUUAAAAAGCUCGUAGUUGAAUUUCGGGAUCGAAUUGUUGGUCGUGCUUCGGUACGCACUGGCAUUAUCGGUUUCUACCUUCUGAAGAACCGCGAUGUCAUUAAUUUGGUGUCGUGGGGAAUCAGGACUGUUACUUUGAAAAAAUUAGAGUGUUUAAAGCAGGCUUACGCUUGAAUACAUUAGCAUGGAAUAAUGAAAUAGGACGUUUGAUUCUAUUUUGUUGGUUUCUAGGAUCGACGUAAUGAUUAAUAGGGAUAGUUGGGGGCAUUAGUAUUCAAUUGUCAGAGGUGAAAUUCUUGGAUUUAUUGAAGACUAACUACUGCGAAAGCAUUUGCCAAGGAUGUUUUCAUUAAUCAAGAACGAAAGUUAGGGGAUCGAAGACGAUCAGAUACCGUCGUAGUCUUAACCAUAAACUAUGCCGACUAGGGAUCGGAUGAUGUUAAUUUUUUAAUGACUC